GCGUCAAUCACUGACAAGCUGCCGGUGCUAUUAUAGAGAAAUCUAUGGUGCUACUGCAGCGCACCUGGAACAACCGAACAACGGUCCCACAAAUGCAAUGAGCCUAGCUGAAAGCAUCACUGCCAAAACGACACGCUAUGCUCUUCCGAAGGUCGUUGGUCAGGUCGAGGUUGGCAUGCAGUGCAGCUUGCCUCUGGCCGACAAAUCUGUCGGGUGCUCCUUCAAAGCACGGAGCGUCUCAAAGAGCAUGCAGACUACGGAGACCCUGGAUCAUCUAAGCUUCACCUCAGCAUCGAGGCCUUCUAUUUCUCCAUCAACUGCCAAAUGUGACAACUCAAAGCAAGGAUGCCUCCACCGAUAUCAGUUAUGUGACUACGAGACUGAUAAACUGUCUCAUCUGGAAACACAUGCCAAUGUCCAUACGGGCGAGAAGCCAUUUCAUUGCCCUUUAUGCCCUCAGAGCUUUUCACAAGAAGUCCAUCAGAAAAGUUACCUAUGC
This is a long non-coding RNA of Dermacentor andersoni, 499 nucleotides long. RefSeq lists it as uncharacterized. The record is from RefSeq and is a predicted model, not a curated record. NCBI's taxonomy places the organism in Eukaryota, Metazoa, Arthropoda, Arachnida, Ixodida, Ixodidae.